This 492-nucleotide ribosomal RNA is filed under the name uncultured bacterium. Its description in RNAcentral is "partial 16S ribosomal RNA". It matches the Rfam family "Bacterial small subunit ribosomal RNA", at positions 29 to 507 of the family's 1533-position model. The record is from RNAcentral.
AGUGAACGCUGGCGGUAGGCCUAACACAUGCAAGUCGAACGGCAGCACCGUAAGAGCUUGCUCUUACGGGUGGCGAGUGGCGGACGGGUGAGGAAUACAUCGGACUCUACUUUUUCGUGGGGGAUCACGUAGGGAAACUUACGCUAAUACCGCAUACGACCUACCGUUGAAAGCAGGGGAUCUUCGGACCUUGCGCGAUUGAAUGAGCCGAUGUCGGAUUAGAUAGUUGGCGGGGUAAAUACCCACCAAGGCGACGAUCCGUAGCUGGUCUGAGAGGAUGAUCAGCGACACUGGAACUGAGACACGGUCAAGACUCCUAAGGGAGGCAGCAGUGGGGAAUGUUGGACAAUGGGCGCAAGCCUGAUCCAGCCAGACCGAGUGGGUGAAGAAAGCCUUCGGGUUGUAAAGACCUUUUGUGGGGAAAGAAAAGCAGCAGGUUAAGACCCCGCUGUUCUGACGGUACCCAAAGAAUAAGCACCGGCUAACUUCGUG